UAACACAUGCAAGUCGAACGAUGAGCCGCUUCGGUGGUGGAUUAGUGGCGAACGGGUGAGUAACACGUGGGCAAUCUGCCCUUCACUCUGGGACAAGCCCUGGAAACGGGGUCUAAUACCGGAUAACACUCUGUCCCGCAUGGGACGGGGUUAAAAGCUCCGGCGGUGAAGGAUGAGCCCGCGGCCUAUCAGCUUGUUGGUGGGGUAAUGGCCUACCAAGGCGACGACGGGUAGCCGGCCUGAGAGGGCGACCGGCCACACUGGGACUGAGACACGGCCCAGACUCCUACGGGAGGCAGCAGUGGGGAAUAUUGCACAAUGGGCGAAAGCCUGAUGCAGCGACGCCGCGUGAGGGAUGACGGCCUUCGGGUUGUAAACCUCUUUCAGCAGGGAAGAAGCGAAAGUGACGGUACCUGCAGAAGAAGCGCCGGCUAACUACGUGCCAGCAGCCGCGGUAAUACGUAGGGCGCAAGCGUUGUCCGGAAUUAUUGGGCGUAAAGAGCUCGUAGGCGGCUUGUCACGUCGGAUGUGAAAGCCCGGGGCUUAACCCCGGGUCUGCAUUCGAUACGGGCUAGCUAGAGUGUGGUAGGGGAGAUCGGAAUUCCUGGUGUAGCGGUGAAAUGCGCAGAUAUCAGGAGGAACACCGGUGGCGAAGGCGGAUCUCUGGGCCAUUACUGACGCUGAGGAGCGAAAGCGUGGGGAGCGAACAGGAUUAGAUACCCUGGUAGUCCACGCCGUAAACGUUGGGAACUAGGUGUUGGCGACAUUCCACGUCGUCGGUGCCGCAGCUAACGCAUUAAGUUCCCCGCCUGGGGAGUACGGCCGCAAGGCUAAAACUCAAAGGAAUUGACGGGGGCCCGCACAAGCAGGCGGAGCAUGUGGCUUAAUUCGACGCAACGCGAAGAACCUUACCAAGGCUUGACAUAUACCGGAAAACAUCCAAAAAUGGUGCCCCCCUUGUGGUCGGUAUACAGGUGGUGCAUGGCUGUCGUCAGCUCGUGUCGUGAAAUGUUGGGUUAAGUCCCGCAACGAACCCAACCCUUGUUCUGUGUUGCCAACAUGCCCUUCCAGUUGAUGGGGACUCGAAAGGA
This 1091-nucleotide ribosomal RNA is filed under the name Streptomyces sp. BEE12H14. RNAcentral describes it as "bacterial SSU rRNA". It matches the Rfam family "Bacterial small subunit ribosomal RNA", at positions 49 to 1147 of the family's 1533-position model. Lineage: Bacteria; Bacillati; Actinomycetota; Actinomycetes; Kitasatosporales; Streptomycetaceae. The record is from RNAcentral.